GGAUUAUGGCUCAGCGGUAGAGUGCUCGCCUAGCACGUGCAAGGCCCUGGGUUUGAUCCUCAGCACCA
Molecule: transfer RNA, 68 nt
Filed under: Marmota monax (woodchuck)
Lineage: Eukaryota; Metazoa; Chordata; Mammalia; Rodentia; Sciuridae
Description: tRNA.Ala
Source: RNAcentral